This 155-nucleotide ribosomal RNA is filed under the name Thanatephorus cucumeris. Its description in RNAcentral is "5.8S ribosomal RNA". It matches the Rfam family "5.8S ribosomal RNA". Rfam says of the family: 5.8S ribosomal RNA (5.8S rRNA) is a component of the large subunit of the eukaryotic ribosome. The record is from RNAcentral. Lineage: Eukaryota; Fungi; Basidiomycota; Agaricomycetes; Cantharellales; Ceratobasidiaceae.
AAGUUUCAACAACGGAUCUCUUGGCUCUCGCAUCGAUGAAGAACGCAGCGAAAUGCGAUAAGUAAUGUGAAUUACAGAAUUCAGUGAAUCAUCGAAUCUUUGAACGCACCUUGCGCUCCUUGGUAUUCCUUGGAGCAUGCCUGUUUGAGUAUCAU